UACGUAGGGGCCAAGCGUUAUCCGGAAUUACUGGGCGUAAAGCGUACGUAGGCGGUUUGUUAAGUUGGGUGUGAAAUCCUGCGGCUCAACCGUAUGGACUAUGUCCAAAACUGACAGACUCGAGCAUAGUAGAGGCAAGUGGAACUUGCGGUGUAGGAGUGACAUCCGUAGAUAUCGCAAAGAACACCAAUGGCGAAGGCAGCUUGCUGGGCUAUUGCUGACGCUGAGAGUACGAAAGCGUGGGGAGCGAACGGG
RNAcentral lists this ribosomal RNA (255 nucleotides) under uncultured bacterium. RNAcentral's name for it is "partial 16S ribosomal RNA". It matches the Rfam family "Bacterial small subunit ribosomal RNA", at positions 524 to 776 of the family's 1533-position model. The record is from RNAcentral.